GCCUUCGUGGUGCAAUGGUAGCAUACUCGACGCGUUUCGAGAGGUCCAGGUUCGAAUCCCGGCGAGGGCA
This is a non-coding RNA of Stegodyphus dumicola, 70 nucleotides long. The record is from the annotation of a RefSeq genome assembly. NCBI's taxonomy places the organism in Eukaryota, Metazoa, Arthropoda, Arachnida, Araneae, Eresidae.